UGGGGAAUAUUGCACAAUGGGGGAAACCCGAUGCAGCAACGCCGCGUGAAGGAUGACGGUUUUCGGAUUGUAAACUUCUUUUCUUAGUGACGAAGACAGUGACGGUAGCUAAGGAAUAAGCAUCGGCUAACUACGUGCCAGCAGCCGCGGUAAUACGUAGGAUGCAAGCGUUAUCCGGAUUUACUGGGUGUAAAGGGAGCGCAGGCGGGACUGCAAGUUGGAUGUGAAAUACCGUGGCUUAACCACGGAACUGCAUCCAAAACUGUAGUUCUUGAGUGAAGUAGAGGCAAGCGGAAUUCCGAGUGUAGCGGUGAAAUGCGUAGAUAUUCGGAGGAACACCAGUGGCGAAGGCGGCUUGCUGGGCUUUAACUGACGCUGAGGCUCGAAAGUGUGGGGAGCAAACA
Molecule: ribosomal RNA, 404 nt
Filed under: uncultured prokaryote
Description: bacterial SSU rRNA
Rfam family: Bacterial small subunit ribosomal RNA
Source: RNAcentral